Molecule: ribosomal RNA, 770 nt
Filed under: uncultured bacterium
Lineage: Bacteria
Description: bacterial SSU rRNA
Rfam family: Bacterial small subunit ribosomal RNA
Source: RNAcentral
AGAGUUUGAUCCUGGCUCAGAACGAACGCUGGCGGCGUGCUUAACACAUGCAAGUCGAGUGCGCGCCUGUAGCAAUACAGGUGGCGCACGGCGCACGGGUGCGUAACACGUGGGUAACCUGCCCUUUGGUGGGGAAUAACUCCGCGAAAGCGAAGCUAAUUCCGCAUAAGAUCCGCAAGGAUGAAAGCCGAAAGGCGCCGAUGGAGGGGCCCGCGCACGAUUAGCUAGUUGGUAGGGUAAUGGCCUACCAAGGCUUUGAUCGUUAGCUGGUCUGAGAGGAUGGCCAGCCACACUGGAACUGAGACACGGUCCAGACUCCUACGGGAGGCAGCAGUGGGGAAUCUUGCACAAUGGGCGAAAGCCUGAUGCAGCGACGCCGCGUGGGGGAUGAAGCUUCUCGGAGUGUAAACCCCUUUCGAUCCGGACGAAUGCCCGCAAGGGAUUGACGGUACGGAUAUAAGAAGCCCCGGCUAACUACGUGCCAGCAGCCGCGGUAAUACGUAGGGGGCCAGCGUUGUUCGGAAUUACUGGGUGUAAAGGGUUCGUAGGCGGUGCGGCAAGUUGGGAGUGAAAUCUCUGGGCUCAACCCAGAGGCUGCUUCCAAAACUGCCGUGCUUGAGUGUGGGAGAGGCUCGUGGAAUUGCAGGUGUAGCGGUGAAAUGCGUAGAUAUCUGCAGGAACACCCGUGGCGAAAGCGGCGAGCUGGACCACUACUGACGCUGAAGAACGAAAGCUAGGGGAGCAAACAGGAUUAGAUACCCUUGUAGUCC